Molecule: ribosomal RNA, 253 nt
Filed under: uncultured prokaryote
Description: partial 16S ribosomal RNA
Rfam family: Bacterial small subunit ribosomal RNA
Source: RNAcentral
ACGGAGGGGGCUAGCGUUGUUCGGAAUUACUGGGCGUAAAGCGCACGUAGGCGGCUUUGUAAGUUAGAGGUGAAAGCCCGGGGCUCAACUCCGGAAUUGCCUUUAAGACUGCAUCGCUAGAAUUGUGGAGAGGUAAGUGGAAUUCCGAGUGUAGAGGUGAAAUUCGUAGAUAUUGGGAAGAACACCGGUGGCGAAGGCGGCUCACUGGCUCAUAUCUGACGCUCAGGCGCGACAGCGUGGGGAUCAAACAGGA